Molecule: non-coding RNA, 1295 nt
Organism: Picea glauca (white spruce)
Lineage: Eukaryota; Viridiplantae; Streptophyta; Pinopsida; Pinales; Pinaceae
Source: Rfam
GUGUCAUGAUGUCAACCCUUGAGUAUCUCCACUCCAUGAUCGUUGUCGGGUUUGACCGGAUAGGGCUCCUCUGCCUAUAUCGUUGUCCAAAUUUACUAGAUAGGGCCUCCUUCAACUCUCUCUAUUGUUGUCAAGGGGAUUUUCUAUGCUCACAGGGAUUUGUUGCUCUACUAGUCUUGGGAAUGGGUGCGAGUAGUUUUGUUUCUCUGAUAGUCUUAGGAAUGGGCACAAGUCAUUUGUAAUUUGGUUUUAGUGUUUUGUUUUCAUUUUUAUGUUUUUUUGGGGUAUAUAUAUAUAUAUAUAACCUUAUAAGUACAGUCGACUUAAAACUAGUAUGGACAAGGGGAAUCUGACUAUUUAAUUAAAACAAAGCAUUGUGGCAGUCCUUGCGGAUGCUGACGCGAUGUGAUUUAUGUCUAGUGCUCUGAAUGUCAAAGUGAAGAAAUUCAAUAGCCCACGGGGGGCAGCCCAAUUGGAAAGUUUCGUGAUAUGAAAGGUUAUGUUCGAUGAGGUUCCGAGUUCAAAUCCCCCCUAUUUACAUGUGCCUGCAGAAGGGGCAUACGUAUGGCACCUGGAGAUUAUAGUGGUAGUGGUCGGAAUUGACCCUGUGUCAUGUGAGUACGAGACCAACCCAAUUGUCGAUUCCACCAGUUACAAAAAAAAAAGUGAAGAAAUUCCAACCAAGCGUAGGUAAAUGACAGGAGUAUCUAUGACUCUCUUAAGGUAUCCAACUACCUCCUCAUCUAAUUAGUGACGCACAUGAAUGGAUUAACGAGAUUAUGGAUUAGUGAGAUUCCUAAUGUCUCUAUCUAUAUCUAGAGAAACCACAACCAAGGGAACGAGCUUGGCAGAAUCAGCGGGGAAAGAAGACCUUGUUGAGCUUGACUCUAGUCUGACUUUGUGAAAUGACUUGAGAGGUGUAGAAUAAGUGGGAGUCGUUUUCGACGCAAGUGAAAUACCACUACUUUUAACAUUAUUUUACUUAUUAUGUGGGGCGGAGAUGGGGCAUUGCCCCUGUUUUUGGCCAUAAGACAUGUUUCGACAGGCCGAUCUGGGCGGAAGACAUUGUUGGGUGGGGAGUUUGGCUGGGGCAGCACAUCUGUUAAAAGAUAACGCAUCUAUCCUAAGAUUAUCUCAACAAGAACAUAAAUCUCGUGUGGAACAAAAGGGUAAAAGCUCAUUUGAUUUGCCACCAACCUCUUGAUCCUUGUAAUUCAUUGAUGGAUAUGAAUUAAUACAUCAAUUAGAUGUUUGCAUGCAUCAACAUAGUAAUUUAAAAUACUAAUUGCCUGAGU